CUUGUCCCAAUUCCUGGCUCACUGAAUACCUGAGCAUAAGAAAGUAGUUUAAAGCACUGAGUUUUAAGGCAAUUUAAAAACUGAUUUAAAAAUAUAUACCUAUGUAUGAUUUAUUUUUAAUUUAUACAUAAUGAUUGACAUAAUUGGGGGGUACAGCAUGGUCUUUCCAUACAGAUGUAUGAUGUGUAAUAAUCAAAUCAGGGUAUUUAGCAUAUUCAUUAAAUCAAAUGUUUAAUCUUCUUACUAAGAUGUGUGGGUGAGGUCACUGGCAAUGAUGUGUUGACGGGGCUCAACUCCAUUUCACAGAGCCCCCUCUCCUGUGUGUUCUGGUGUGGAGGGUCUGAGAAGAGCCUGGUGGAGACUCAGAGGGCAGAAGGGAAGUGGCAGCCAGUUUGUCCUGUGGGUUCCAGCUUGGCCAUGCUCCUCAUGGUUCAUGAGCAUCUUCUCUUUCCACUGCCUGCCUCGUAGACCGCGGGCUCCAGCCCCAGACUCCAGGACAACAGCUUUCAUACAUGUGAGGUCAAAACACUCUUUAUAUGAAAUCCAUAGUUAGGCUUGGGUGUGAGGGGUUCCCAAAAGCUCAAGUGUGAGACAAUGCAAGAAGGUUCAGAGGAGAAGUGAUUGGGUUGUGAGAGCCUUCACCCAAUCAGUGAAUCAAUCGCCUGAUGGGAUUGACUGAGUGGUAUCUGAAGGCAGGUGGGGAGUGGCUGGAGGAGGUGGGACCUUGAGGCAUGGCUUUGGGUAUAUAUUUGUAUUUGGGAGUGGAGACCUCUCUAUGCUUCUGAUAAUCAUGUGAGCUGCUUCCCUCCAUCUCACUCUUCCACCAUGAUGUUCUGCCUCACCUUGAGCCCUGAGGAAUGGAACCUGCUGUCUAUGGACUGAGACCUCUGAAACCAGGAACCCUCAAAUCAACUUUUCCUCCUCUACAAUUGUUGUGGUCGGAUUUUUUUUUUUGUCACAGUAGUGAAAAAACUGACUAAACCAUAUAUUCAUAUAAAUAAUAUUCAAUCAUAGAAUAUAUAACAUGUAAUGUACAAUGCAGAAUGUAUACUGUAUAAUAUGUGAUAGGUGAAUAUACUAUGAUAUAUGGUAUGUAAAAAUAUACAUGCUUACAUACAUGUAUAAAUGUGUGCAUGUCUCUCUGCUCCUCCUAGAUGCUGCCCUUGGCCCCUGAGUGAUGUGCAUGGUCACUGGGUACACACGUUCCUCAGUAGCCAGGCUGUCUCCUGCUUCAUUUCAUUCCUCUCCCAUUUGUCACUCAGUAUCAUACAACCACUUGCCUCUGGUCAUCACUCAGCAUCCUGCACCUGUUCCC
Molecule: long non-coding RNA, 1315 nt
Filed under: Marmota monax (woodchuck)
Lineage: Eukaryota; Metazoa; Chordata; Mammalia; Rodentia; Sciuridae
Source: RNAcentral